Molecule: non-coding RNA, 107 nt
Organism: Cyclospora cayetanensis
Lineage: Eukaryota; Apicomplexa; Conoidasida; Eucoccidiorida; Eimeriidae
Source: Rfam
GGCCUCCUUCGGGAGUGCCAUCUGUUAAGAUAGGAACGAUACAGAUAAGAUUAGCAUGGUACCUGCAAAGGCUUGAGGGGUUCCUGAGUGACUGAUUAUCGCUAGAU